GAGACCCCAUGAGGAGAAGGGGCAGAGAGUGACCAUGGAGGAGCAGCAGAGACAAAGCAGUAAUGACUGACCUUAGCCCCCAUUUCCUGUUAUGCUGCACUGCUCAGGGGAAGAGGUAGAGGAGGGUGGAUAGGGGAAGGUGUUUUUAGUUUGCUUUUAAUUCUCACCGUAGUAGUGUGCUAUCAAUAGGCAGUAAAUUACAUUUGUCUGUCUACGCUGACUGUUUUUCCAGUGGUGGUAAUUGCUGACAUCAAACCAAAAGUCAAAACAUUAUUCUGACUGAAUCAAUGCAUCAUGUCCUGUGGCUGCCUGCAAUGUGAUUGUGUACCCCCGUGCGACCCAUGACAAGUCUGGCUUGUUUUGCAGUGUGGUAACGCACACGUCUGGUAUUGAGACUGAUGAAAUCACAGCCUUGCUUCUUCCCCAGGCUGUGCUCUCUUUUGCUUAACUUCUGCAGCUGUGAGGCUUCAACCUCAGCAGCACCUGCCAUGGUUGCCCUCAGUGCACUCCUGGUUACUACACCAACCUCAUCAGCCUGUUACUUCCUCAAUUAUUUUUAAUCCCUCUAAAGCUGCUUUGGGACUGCACGCUGCAAAAAGCAGGCCAAACCUUCAAACCGUUUCCUUCUGUGACUCAUAAUGAAGGAGGUAUGCUGCAAACCCCAUGCAGCAGGGUGUGACUCUAUGGCAAACGUGUUCGUACAGGACCUCACUGAGCGCUUUUAAAACACUCUGCUUAUUUCUGUCGAAGUAAUGAAUGUGUUCUGUAAGUAAAAAUGCUCCUGAGCUACCAGUUUUCAUGUUAAAUAUUUUGGUUUUAAAAGGUCCACUACCUAAAUAAAAUUCCAGACACGUUUAUUGAAAACAAUGUUCUCUCUUUUUCUUUUCUUUUUUUCUUUUUUUUUUUUU
This 908-nucleotide long non-coding RNA is filed under the name Gallus gallus (chicken). Its description in RNAcentral is "lncRNA (ENSGALG00010002665.1)". The record is from RNAcentral. Lineage: Eukaryota; Metazoa; Chordata; Aves; Galliformes; Phasianidae.